GACGAACGCUGGCGGCGUGCUUAACACAUGCAAGUCGAACGGAAAGGCCCUGCUUUUGUGGGGUGCUCGAGUGGCGAACGGGUGAGUAACACGUGAGUAACCUGCCCUUGACUUUGGGAUAACUUCAGGAAACUGGGGCUAAUACCGGAUAGGAGCUCCUGCUGCAUGGUGGGGGUUGGAAAGUUUCGGCGGUUGGGGAUGGACUCGCGGCUUAUCAGCUUGUUGGUGGGGUAGUGGCUUACCAAGGCUUUGACGGGUAGCCGGCCUGAGAGGGUGACCGGCCACAUUGGGACUGAGGUGCGGCCCAGACUCCUACGGGAGGCAGCAGUGGGGAAUAUUGCACAAUGGGCGGAAGCCUGAUGCAGCAACGCCGCGUGCGGGAUGACGGCCUUCGGGUUGUAAACCACUUUCGCCUGUGACGAAGCGUGAGUGACGGUAAUGGGUAAAGAAGCACCGGCUAACUACGUG
RNAcentral lists this ribosomal RNA (468 nucleotides) under uncultured bacterium. RNAcentral's name for it is "partial 16S ribosomal RNA". It matches the Rfam family "Bacterial small subunit ribosomal RNA", at positions 28 to 507 of the family's 1533-position model. The record is from RNAcentral.